This 628-nucleotide ribosomal RNA is filed under the name Exophiala spinifera. Its description in RNAcentral is "LSU rRNA". It matches the Rfam family "Eukaryotic large subunit ribosomal RNA", at positions 34 to 671 of the family's 3401-position model. The record is from RNAcentral. Lineage: Eukaryota; Fungi; Ascomycota; Eurotiomycetes; Chaetothyriales; Herpotrichiellaceae.
UUUUGCAUAUCCAAAAAGCGGAGGAAAAGAAACCAACAGGGAUUGCCUCAGUAACGGCGAGUGAAGCGGCAACAGCUCAAAUUUGAAAUCUGGCCUCUUUGGGGUCCGAGUUGUAAUUUGUAGAGGAUGUUUCGGGUACCGCCUCGGUUUAAAUUUCUUGGAACAGAAUGUCAGAGAGGGUGAGAAUCCCGUCUUGGACCGGCGGUAGGGCCCAUGUGAAACUCCUUCGACGAGUCGAGUUGUUUGGGAAUGCAGCUCAAAAUGGGUGGUAAAUUUCAUCUAAAGCUAAAUAUUGGCCAGAGACCGAUAGCGCACAAGUAGAGUGAUCGAAAGAUGAAAAGAACUUUGAAAAGAGAGUUAAACAGUAUGUGAAAUUGUUGAAAGGGAAGCGCUUGCAACCAGACUUGAGCGCGGCGGUUCCCCCUUCCUUUUGGUUGGGUUACUCCGCCGUGUCCAGGCCAACAUCGGUUCUGGGGGUCGGUUAAAGGCCCGGGGAAUGUACCUACUCCUUCGGGGGUAGACUUAUAGCCCCGGGUGUCAUGCGACCACCCGGGACCGAGGAACGCGCUUCGGCUCGGAUGUUGGCGUAAUGGUUGUCAGCGACCCGUCUUGAAACCACGGACCAAAA